This 535-nucleotide small RNA is filed under the name Pongo abelii (Sumatran orangutan). Its description in RNAcentral is "processed transcript". Lineage: Eukaryota; Metazoa; Chordata; Mammalia; Primates; Hominidae. The record is from RNAcentral.
UUUGCCAUGUGCAAGUUCCUGCUUCACCUUCUGCCAUGAGUAAAAACUCUCUGAGGCCUCCCCAGAAGCCAAGCAGAUGCUGGUCUCAUGUCUGUAGAGCCUGCAGAACCAUGAUUUACAUCAUUACAAUUGAUGGACAACCUUACACUCUACGUCUCAGAAAACAAUCGUUCUUACCCCAGAACUUUUUGGUUUAUACAUAUAAUGAAACUGGAUCCUUGCAUUCUGAGUCUCCAUAUUUUAUGAUGCAUUGCCAUUACCAAGGAUAUGCUGCCGAAUUUCCAAAUUCAUUUGUGACACUCAGUAUAUGUUCUGGUCUCAGGGGAUUUCUCCAGUUUGAAAAUAUCAGUUAUGGAAUUGAACCAUUAGAAUCUUCAGCAAGAUUUGAGCAUAUAAUUUAUCAAAUGAAAAAUAAUGAUCCAAAUGUAUCAAUUUUAGCAGAAAAUUACAGUCAUAUUUGGCAGAAAGACCAGCCCUACAAAGUUCCUUUAAACUCACAGGUGACUGUCAUUCUGAUGUUAUGAUAUACUAGAAA